AACGAACGCUGGCGGCAUGCCUAACACAUGCAAGUCGAACGAGACCUUCGGGUCUAGUGGCGCACGGGUGCGUAACGCGUGGGAAUCUGCCCUUCGGUUCGGAACAACAGUUAGAAAUGACUGCUAAUACCGGAUAAUGACGUAAGUCCAAAGAUUUAUCGCCGAAGGAUGAGCCCGCGUAAGAUUAGGUAGUUGGUGGGAUAAUGGCCUACCAAGCCGACGAUCUUUAGCUGGUCUGAGAGGAUGAUCAGCCACACUGGGACUGAGACACGGCCCAGACUCCUACGGGAGGCAGCAGUGGGGAAUAUUGGACAAUGGGCGAAAGCCUGAUCCAGCAAUGCCGCGUGAGUGAUGAAGGCCUUAGGGUUGUAAAGCUCUUUUACCAGGGAUGAUAAUGACAGUACCUGGAGAAUAAGCUCCGGCUAACUCCGUGCCAGCAGCCGCGGUAA
RNAcentral lists this ribosomal RNA (449 nucleotides) under uncultured bacterium. Its description in RNAcentral is "bacterial SSU rRNA". It matches the Rfam family "Bacterial small subunit ribosomal RNA", at positions 29 to 523 of the family's 1533-position model. The record is from RNAcentral.